RNAcentral lists this long non-coding RNA (1106 nucleotides) under Capra hircus (goat). RNAcentral describes it as "lncRNA (ENSCHIG00010011156.1)". The record is from RNAcentral. Lineage: Eukaryota; Metazoa; Chordata; Mammalia; Artiodactyla; Bovidae.
AGCCUGCACCUGCCUGCAGCCAUUCAGACUUGAUCCCCUUGCGUGCUGGGGAGACUGAGGCCUGCCUUGCAAAGGGGAUGGGGGACGGGCACCCCAGCUUGGCUUCCAGGCUCUGCAUUUUCCUCUCAUUUCUGAACCAUUCUUGGCCCAACUGGGAUCCUCUGCAAAACCAUUCCUUCAACGAACAUUGAUUGAGUACAGUGUGUCAAGAGGAAAAGGGGAUACAGAGGAUGAGAUGGUUGUAUGGCAUCACCCACUCGAUGGACUUGAGUUUGAGCAAGCUCUGGGAGUUGGUGAAGGACAGGGAAGCCUGGUGUGCUGCAGUCCAUUGAGCCACAAACAGUCAGGUACAACUGAGUGACUGAACAACAAUUUUGUGCCGCACUGAGCUGAGCAGUCAGUAAGGCAAACUAGCUCGUGCCUACAGUCUAGGAGAGGAGACAAAAGAAUCUGCUGGAGAGUUCAAGGUAUAGGUAGAUGAGGGUGUUGAGCGGCCCAGGAGGACUAGGAGGUGACCUAGGGGCCAUAGAAGGACCCUGGACAGAUUUAACAGAGCACACGGGGUGCAGGGGGUGGUGGGAAGUCAGCGUGUACUACACAGAGGGGCCCGCCAGCACAAAAGACCCUGAGGGAGGCCCCACCCCCGCGGCCCGGCUCAGCUGCCACCCAGGCUUCAGCACUCAUGAAUGAGUCUUUCAUGCCCUGGACGGGGGCAAGGUCAGACUUGGCUGCUCCCUCCCCCGCCCUGGGCUCCUGACUGUCUGAGCCUUGACCUGGAAGAGGGUGGCAGGAAGUUCACAGCUUGCCCGCCGGGUGAGCCAGGGAGGCCCAGGGAGGGGGCAGAACCAGCAGCGUCCUCACAAUUGUGUGACACUAAGCAAAGCCCCGCCCCUCCGGGCCUCAGUUUCUCCGGCCAGGUGGGUCAGCGCGGCGCUCCAGUCCAGCUCCGACCCAGAAGGAAUCCAGCGCGGGUUUUGCGGAUGCCCGGCGGCUACCGACACCUUCCUCCCUGGGCGUCCCGGCCUCGGCCCCGGGUCCGAGGGGUCCCGGGGAGACCUGGACCCCCCCAGAACGGCAGCUGUUCCGGCGGCAGAUGCGCUGGCUAA